Molecule: ribosomal RNA, 468 nt
Filed under: uncultured bacterium
Lineage: Bacteria
Description: partial 16S ribosomal RNA
Rfam family: Bacterial small subunit ribosomal RNA
Source: RNAcentral
GACGAACGCUGGCGGCGUGCUUAACACAUGCAAGUCGAACGGAAAGGCCCUGCUUUUGUGGGGUGCUCGAGUGGCGAACGGGUGAGUAACACGUGAGUAACCUGCCCUUGACUUUGGGAUUACUUCAGGAAACUGGGGCUAAUACCGGAUAGGAGCUCCUGCUGCAUGGUGGGGGUUGGAAAGUUUCGUCGGUUGGGGAUGGACUCGCGGCUUAUCAGCUUGUUGGUGGGGUAGUGGCUUACCUAGGCUUUGACGGGUAGCCGGCCUGAGAGGGUGACCGGACACAUUGGGACUGAGAUACAGCCCAGACUCCUACGGGGGGCAGCAGAGGGGAAUAUUGCACGAUGGGCGGAAACCUGAUGCAGCAAAGCCGCGUGCGGGAGGACGGCCUUCGGGUUGUAAACCGCUUUCGCCUGUGACGAAGCGUGAGUGACGGUAAUGGGUAAAGAAGCACCGGCUAACUACGUG